AUGAAUUUCUGUUUCUGCGGUCAGUUUGCUCUGUUCUUUAUUCACUCAGUGUUUUCUCUUUUUUUUUUUCUACAAGUACAGUUUGCCAGUCUGGAAGAUUCGAAAAGAUUUAAGUUACACAAAAUUACAAAAAGCAUUGAACAGCACAUGCUGUAUAAUCAUAAGGUAGCCCAGAAGAACUGUGCUGUCUUGCAGCUGUUAAUCAUGCAUUUCACUCAAAAUCAGUACCCACAGAACUUAUCACAAACCUGAAUAUUCAUCAUUUGAUGUAUGGGGAUACAGAAUGGAAAAAGCAAGUAUUUUGUUUUCAUACUGUGCAUAAUA
Molecule: long non-coding RNA, 324 nt
Filed under: Pogona vitticeps (central bearded dragon)
Lineage: Eukaryota; Metazoa; Chordata; Lepidosauria; Squamata; Agamidae
Description: lncRNA (ENSPVIG00000013707.1)
Source: RNAcentral